This 421-nucleotide ribosomal RNA is filed under the name uncultured bacterium. Its description in RNAcentral is "bacterial SSU rRNA". It matches the Rfam family "Bacterial small subunit ribosomal RNA", at positions 356 to 774 of the family's 1533-position model. The record is from RNAcentral.
GAGGAAUAUUGGGCAAUGCCCGCAAGGGUGACCCAGCAACGCCGCGUGGAGGAUGAAUGUCGUAAGAUUGUAAACUCCUGUUAGAGGGGAAGAAUAGUACCGGUUGGACCGGUAUAUGACUGUACCCUCAGAGAAAGCCCCGGCUAACUACGUGCCAGCAGCCGCGGUAAUACGUAGGGGGCAAGCGUUGUCCGGAUUUACUGGGUGUAAAGGGCGCGCAGGCGGGAUAAAAAGUCAGUGGUGAAAUCCUACAGCUUAACUGUAGAACUGCCUUUGAUACUUUUAUUCUUGAGUUCGGGAGAGAGAGACGGAAUUCCAGGUGUAGUGGUGAAAUACGUAGAUAUCUGGAAGAACACCUGUUGCGAAGGCGGUCUCUUGGUCCGACACUGACGCUGAGGCGCGAAAGCGUGGGGAGCAAACA